GGUAUUCCUUUGGAAACUUAACUUCCCUAUGUUAUUUUCUCUAUAAAACUCAUUAUAGCAGCCAACCUCACUGACAGACUGAUUGGACAUGGGUGCAUCAGGAAUACAAGGAAUAUUUCCUCAAACUACACACAGAGAGUGGUCAGGGGAAUGUUCUUUGCUCCUACAGUUACAACCUGUUGUGUUUCUUCAGAGCUUUAGGUUUUCCUCAGAGUGUUGUGGUUCAUGGUGUAUAAGAAGGUUAGUCCCCAAAAAUGGCUAGAAAAGCUUCUCUAAUAAGAAAUUAAGGGUAUAAUUUUCUUUUGGCACCACUGGAUUUAGAGAUAGUGCUGAACAUAGGCAGAAAACAGUCUGACAGACAAGACAGGUAAUUUAGAGAUAAAGGAGGCUAUGCUUUUGCACAUUACCGUGAAAAACUAUGUAUUUUUCUUCAUUUACAACCCACCCACCUCACACCCCCUUCCCCAUGUAUGUUUAUUUAGUAUCUUCAAAUAUUUGAAAUCUCAAAUCAAUGUUUUCACUAUGUCAUAGGAGUCUCAGGAAUUCUGGUGUGAAACAUUUUUCUCAUCUGGGAUUGAAAAGUGUAUACACUUGGAGUUUGAUCACCGGGCUGAAUAUUCAACUCACUGGCUCCUCAGCUGCUAAAGCUUGUUCUAGGAAGGAAAGAGAUUGUGACUGCUAUGUCUUCUUUCUCUGCUCCCUGGGAGACAUACUAUUCUGUGGUCUUGAAUCCACAGUCUCUAUUUAUCUUCCGAAUGUGGUGUUCCCGGGGAGCUGUGAGACUAGAUCCUGUAAGUGGAAGAAGGAAAGACUGGUACAACUCGCUUGAUGAUAGUGAAUUUUUAUACCCCAUUGGAACCAGCUUGAAUUCACCUUCUGUCAUGUGAGAAACAUAUUUUUUUUAUAUCUUUUAGAGAUGACAGUUUUGCAUUAAAUAAUUGCCCCACCAAAAAAGAACAAAAGGUAAUGGUCUCAUAGGCUUACAAAAACAAAACAAAACAAAACAACAAACAACAACAAACAACAAC
This 1028-nucleotide long non-coding RNA is filed under the name Anser brachyrhynchus (Pink-footed goose). Its description in RNAcentral is "lncRNA (ENSABRG00000005570.1)". The record is from RNAcentral. Lineage: Eukaryota; Metazoa; Chordata; Aves; Anseriformes; Anatidae.